AGUACUAAAAAUUUGGAAAAACCCAAUUCACCCCCCCUCUUAGGUUGUCACCUUGGGCAACAAGUGGUAUCAGAGCAGGUGCUCUAUAAUUUCUUGCCUUGUGACUUUGACCUAACCGUCAAAGAGCCAAAGAUCAUGACAACUCAAAUAGAUAGUUUUCUAGGAGAGAGAUAAUUAAUUGAUAGAUCUCCACUAUUUAAUGGUAUAAACUACACAUAUUGGAAAGCACGCAUGCGCAUUUUCAUUCAAGCACAUGACUACGAUUUAUGGAGUAUCAUAGUCAAUGGGCUACACACAAAUACUAAUCAUGAUAAGGAAAUGGCUCAGCAAAAUGCA
RNAcentral lists this long non-coding RNA (336 nucleotides) under Phoenix dactylifera (date palm). RNAcentral's name for it is "long non-coding RNA (PDAC_LNC011173)". The record is from RNAcentral. Lineage: Eukaryota; Viridiplantae; Streptophyta; Magnoliopsida; Arecales; Arecaceae.